AUGAGAUUGUGGGGUCUUCUCCUUUGCCUGGUGACAGCUCCCCAAGGUGUCCUGUCUGAGGUGCAGCUGCAGGAGUCGGGCCCAGAACUGGUGAAGCCCUCGCAGACCCUCUCCCUCACCUGCACCAUCUCUGGUGACUCCAUCACCAAUGAUUAUGGUUGGAGCUGGAUCCGCCAGCCCCCAGGGAAAAGCCUUGAGUGGAUGGGAUACCUCUAUUCUAGUGGAAGCACAGCUUAUAAACCAUCCCUCAAGAGCCACAUAUCCAUCACCAUAGACACAACCAAGAACCAGUUCUCCCUGCAGCUGAACUCUGUGACCUCCGAGGACACAGGCGUGUAUUACUGUGCGAGACUCACAAAUGAUGACGUCCAUGCUUCUUACGUGCAAGACGUGAAACCAGAACUCCUCGUGUCACAGCUGAAGGUCAAGGACUGUGUGUGUGUGUCCUGCUUGCUGCUUGUAUACUUCCACUUGUCACAUCGAAGGUGUCGAGUAGAAGCCGUGCUGGCUGCCGUGCUCACCUCGUCAUGA
This is a non-coding RNA of Galeopterus variegatus (Sunda flying lemur), 531 nucleotides long. Lineage: Eukaryota; Metazoa; Chordata; Mammalia; Dermoptera; Cynocephalidae. The record is from the annotation of a RefSeq genome assembly.